This 296-nucleotide ribosomal RNA is filed under the name uncultured soil bacterium. Its description in RNAcentral is "partial 16S ribosomal RNA". It matches the Rfam family "Bacterial small subunit ribosomal RNA", at positions 26 to 313 of the family's 1533-position model. The record is from RNAcentral.
AGAGUGAACGCUGGCGGUAGGCCUAACACAUGCAAGUCGAACGGCAGCACAGUAGGAGCUUGCUCUUACGGGUGGCGAGUGGCGGACGGGUGAGGAAUACAUCGGAAUCUACCUUUUGGUGGGGGAUAACGUAGGGAAACUUACGCUAAUACCGCAUACGCCCUUCGGGGGAAAGCCGGGGACCAGCAAUGGCCUGGCGCUGAUAGAUGAGCCGAUGUCGGAUUAGCUAGUUGGUGAGGUAAUGGCUCACCAAGGCGACGAUCCGUAGCUGGUCUGAGAGGAUGAUCAGCCCACAC